RNAcentral lists this transfer RNA (76 nucleotides) under Mariprofundus micogutta. Its description in RNAcentral is "tRNA-Ala". It matches the Rfam family "tRNA". Rfam says of the family: Transfer RNA (tRNA) molecules are approximately 80 nucleotides in length. Their secondary structure includes four short double-helical elements and three loops (D, anti-codon, and T loops). Further hydrogen bonds mediate the characteristic L-shaped molecular structure. tRNAs have two regions of fundamental functional importance: the anti-codon, which is responsible for specific mRNA codon recognition, and the 3' end, to which the tRNAs corresponding amino acid is attached (by aminoacyl-tRNA synthetases). tRNAs cope with the degeneracy of the genetic code in two manners: having more than one tRNA (with a specific anti-codon) for a particular amino acid; and 'wobble' base-pairing, i.e. permitting non-standard base-pairing at the 3rd anti-codon position. The record is from RNAcentral. RNAcentral also lists the same sequence under 7 other names. Lineage: Bacteria; Pseudomonadati; Pseudomonadota; Candidatius Mariprofundia; Mariprofundales; Mariprofundaceae.
GGGGCCAUAGCUCAGCUGGGAGAGCGCCACACUGGCAGUGUGGAGGUCAGCGGUUCGAUCCCGCUUGGCUCCACCA